Molecule: long non-coding RNA, 1975 nt
Organism: Numida meleagris (helmeted guineafowl)
Lineage: Eukaryota; Metazoa; Chordata; Aves; Galliformes; Numididae
Exons: 3
Source: RefSeq, a predicted model, not a curated record
AGCUGCUUUCCAGAAUUCAAUAUACCACUUAUGUCAACACCACAAUCACUUUCAUUAACUCAGCACCUCCUCACGAGCAACAGAAAAGAGCACUCAGGGUAAAUCACCAGUUAAAGAUCUAACAAAAUCCAGCCAGCCUUAUUGUCAGAAAGCAAAGAUAUGAAAAAUGGAAUUACUUUUCAUGUUUUAGGUGUGACAGAAAUUCAAUACCUAGGUUAAUAAGGAUCAAUGACAGCAGAAUCUUACUUGAAUAGACCAGAGGGAUUUAAAUUUGAGAUCUAUUUCUUACCACAAAGACCUGGAUCUGAUUACAUGGCUUCAGGUGUUGUUGGUUUUUGUUAAUGUAAAGGGAUUUAAAAUUACAUUCUUAUUUGUAACAGUGUUCUGAGACCUCUAAUUGGCAGGUGAAUUGAGUCAUUACUCUAGCUGUCUUCCAGAAGUAUACCACAGCUCUAAAGCAACUCACGUCAAGUGGCUUCAAGGCUGGAUCAGGCCCUCAGAAGCAGAAUUGGUAGAUUUACAGUAUAACCUAGAAAGGAGUGGGGUGGAAACAGAAAAACAACCUACAUUUGUCUAUAUUUUUCUUGUAUCUGCCCAAACGCAAAAGCUUGUUUUUACAUAUUUGGCAAUGAAUGGCAUCUAGAGCUGCUCUAAUAAACAUAAUGCUUCCUGGCAAUGUUUUGGCACCCCUGUGCUUGCACCGAAGGACCAAGGCUGUCGAGUCAACAGCUCCAACAGAAACUAUAGUCUGCUCUUGACAUUCAUUGAGAUGUCCAACAAAGACCAGCUGCAGAGGUGGCUUUUCCAGAUUUCCAAUACAAACCAGAGAAUGCAGAAGCAGUGAUCAAGCUUUAGCCUAACAACUCAAGAUGUAAAAUAAUGGUUUCACCAUCGCUGCCACUCUCUAAAACAGGGGGAAAAGCUGCUGAAGAAAACCCCAAAGUCUCCUGUGAACUCUGCAUUUGAAAAUGUUAUCAUGAAAUAUCUAGUAUCUUGGCUAGGCUUUUUAUUUAGUCAGGUUAUAAAGAGGCUUUAAGGUGCCAACGAGAACAAAUACCUGUUGAAGCCAUCCCAAAUCUACUGGCAUCAAGAUAAAAUUGCCUGGAAGCAUUUUGCUGCAUUGGAUUUCUUAUCAUGGCUCCUGGUCACGGCUUAUGAAGAGUUUUUGUAUUUAUCUGACUCCCAGUGCAAAGUAUGAUGAUUUUCUGUAGUGUAAGAACUUGUGACCCAUGGCCACUUGGAUAUUUGUAACAGGAUCCACACGUUGUGGGUGCUCCUGUCAACAUAUACAUAUAUAUGUUAUAACAUGUAACUUGAGUUCUGAUGAAAUGCUGCCAACACUGAUAGGUGUGCUGGAAAUCUCCCUGAAGAAUCUCACGUGUUUUGUUUUGGGUUUUUCUUUUUUUUUUUUUCUUCAAAGAAAUUUCUAGACUUGAAAGUUGUAAAGGAAAGCCCCAAAUCAGAUGUCUGCAAGCUGGAGAAACCAUGGCCGAAUACCAUUGUCCUCAAUUAUAUUUUCCCUGUAAUUUCAUAAUUUUUAAGCUGAACUCAUGACUCUGCAUGAGCCAGAAUGAAAACUUGAAGAUAUUGGCUCGAUACUGUUGUGAGGAUAUUUUGCUUUUCACUCAUUACUUCAUAGAAUCAUAGAAUGGCUUGGGUUGGAAGGGACCCCAAUGACCAUCAAGUUCCAACCUUUCUGCCACAGACAGUGCCACCAACUUCCAUAGCUGUAUUGCUGCAAGAGGGAGAGCAGCUUCACAGUUCCAACAGAAGCAGGUGGCACUGUAAGGGAAUGUGAGGACUGGGACAGAUAACUGGCACAUCCAGUACUGUACAUUUAUGAGUUGUAGAGAAAACUCCCUAAAAUUCAGCAGUACCUGCCUCCAUCAGCCAGUCCUUACUGACUUGUAACGGUGUAGAUGACAGCGAGAGAAACAGUGGAAGGGACACACACACCAAAAAAAAAAAAAAAAAA